RNAcentral lists this ribosomal RNA (414 nucleotides) under uncultured microorganism. RNAcentral's name for it is "bacterial SSU rRNA". It matches the Rfam family "Archaeal small subunit ribosomal RNA", at positions 330 to 745 of the family's 1478-position model. The record is from RNAcentral.
GUGCAGCAGGCGAGAAUCCUCCGCAAUGCGCGAAAGCGCGACGGGGCCACCCCGAGUGCCGCCCGCUGAGGGCGGCUUUUCCCCGGUGUAGACAGCCGGGGGAAUAAGGGGAGGGCAAGUCUGGUGUCAGCCGCCGCGGUAAUACCAGCUCCCCGAGUGGUGGGGACGAUUAUUGGGCCUAAAGCGUCCGUAGCCGGCCCGGCAAGUCUCCCGUUAAAAUCCAGCGAUCUAAUCGCUGGACUGCGGGAGAUACUGUCGGGCUAGGGGGCGGGAGAGGCCGGCGGUAUUCCCGGGGUAGGGGUGAAAUCCUAUAAUCCCGGGAGGACCACCAGUGGCGAAGGCUGCCGGCUGGAACGCGCCCGACGGUGAGGGACGAAAGCCGGGGGAGCGAACCGGAUUAGAUACCCGUGUAGU